UACGAAGGGUGCAAACGUUGCUCGGAAUCAUUGGGCGUAAAGCGCACGUAGGCGGCUCCAAAAGUCGGAUGUGAAAUCCCUGGGCUCAACCGAGGAAGUGCAUCCGAAACUGCGGAGCUUGAGUAUGGAAGAGGGUCGCGGAAUUCCCGGUGUAGAGGUGAAAUGCGCAGAUAUCAGGAGGAACACCAAUGGCGAAGGCAGCUCGCUGGAACGGUACUGACGCUGAGGCGCGAAAGCGUGGGGAGCGAACAGG
Molecule: ribosomal RNA, 253 nt
Filed under: uncultured bacterium
Lineage: Bacteria
Description: partial 16S ribosomal RNA
Rfam family: Bacterial small subunit ribosomal RNA
Source: RNAcentral